This is a long non-coding RNA of Zalophus californianus (California sea lion), 1132 nucleotides long. RefSeq lists it as uncharacterized. Lineage: Eukaryota; Metazoa; Chordata; Mammalia; Carnivora; Otariidae. The transcript has 4 exons. The record is from RefSeq and is a predicted model, not a curated record.
CGGACGGGCUUAAAAAUCUUUGCCCGACAAUAUGCUACUGUGUGAUGUGAGUGUCUCUGAGUUUUUAGUUUCCUCUUCAGAAAAAUGAGGGAAACAGUACCACCUCUGCAGAGGUCUCUAACAGAAUUACCACUCUUGGGCUAUGCUUUUCAUUUAUAAAUGAAAGAAAAGAAAAAGGUGGCUUGGCAGAGUGCACAUUCUACUACCUACAUUACACUUUGAGAGGAUUAUAUCAUUGGUAAUUGUCAUCAUCCCAGUGAUCUCAAGGACUCAACUGAGGAAGUCCCCAACAGAGACUAAGCACUAUACAAUACUGAAGGAGAAUGAACAAGGCUGAACCUUACCGUAUUGAGCUAGGAAAAAUUCACAUGCUAAUGAAAAAAAAGAAGAAGCCAGGUAACUUAAGGAAGGAUACUACAGUACAACAGCACUCAGGAAAGGAAGAGGAUGGAACUCCAGGGGCGCAAAAGAAAAAAAAAAUAACAAAAUAAAAUAAAAAGACAAAAAGAAGAUAAACCUCAGAUAAAAUGAAGAAAAAAGUCUUGACUUAGAAAAAAAAAGGGCACAUGAAAUAAUAUUAGAAACAAAAUGCUACAGAAAUAGCAGUAUUUAAAAUUAAUAAGAAAAAUAAAUGCAUGGCUCUCAAAUUCUUUGACACCCCUUUCAUUGACAGGUGGGGUCUAUUUUCCUUCCGCUGACUCUGGGUGGGCUUGUGACUGCUUUGAUCAGUAGAAUAUAGUGGAAGUGAUGCUACAUCAGAAAGCCAUAUGGCUUUCACCUACCACCAUUGGGAUAUUCAUCUCAGGGAAAGCAGCUGCCUUAUAAGGAAUCUGACUGCCUUGAGAUCAGUCUCACCGCCAUCAUGGCGCCAUCUCACUCUCAUCAUGGUGAUGAGAGUCACACAGAGGUGCUCUGAUCAGUAGCGCCCACUGAGCUCCCAGAUAACAGCCAACAUCAACUACCGACUUGGUGAGCAAGCCAACUUGAGCAUCCACACACAGUCGGUCCUUCAGGUGACUGCAGUCCCAGCCAACACCUGACUGCAACUGUAUAGGACACCCCAUGUGAGAACGGCCCACCCAAGCCCUUCCCAAAUUCCUAGCCCACAAAAUUGUGAGAUAAAUAAAAUGAU